GGUCAGGCUGAAGACCUUACCCGAUUAGCUGAGAGGUGGUGCAUGGCCGUCGUCAGUUCGUACUGUGAACGCACCCUGUUAAGUCAGGCAACGAGCGAGACCCACGUCCACAGUUGCCAGCAUACCCUCCGGGGUGAUGGGUACACUGUGGAGACCGCCGCUGCUAAAGCGGAGGAAGGAGUGGGCAACGGUAGGUCAGUAUGCCCCGAAUCUCCCGGGCUACACGCGGGCUACAAUGGUUGGUACAAUGGGCAUCUACCCCGAAAGGGGAAGGAAAUCUCUUAAAGCCAAUCGUAGUCCGGAUUGAGGGCUGCAACUCGCCCUCAUGAAGCUGGAAUCCGUAGUAAUCGCGUUUCAACAGAACGCGGUGAAUACGUCCCUGCUCCUU
RNAcentral lists this ribosomal RNA (388 nucleotides) under uncultured Methanosaeta sp. Its description in RNAcentral is "bacterial SSU rRNA". It matches the Rfam family "Archaeal small subunit ribosomal RNA", at positions 952 to 1338 of the family's 1478-position model. The record is from RNAcentral. Lineage: Archaea; Methanobacteriati; Methanobacteriota; Methanomicrobia; Methanotrichales; Methanotrichaceae.